This 301-nucleotide ribosomal RNA is filed under the name uncultured bacterium. Its description in RNAcentral is "partial 16S ribosomal RNA". It matches the Rfam family "Bacterial small subunit ribosomal RNA", at positions 509 to 808 of the family's 1533-position model. The record is from RNAcentral.
CAGUAGCCGCGGUAAUACAGAGGUCCCGAGCGUUGUUCGGAUUCAUUGGGCGUAAAGGGUGCGUAGGCGGCGGGGUAAGUCUGAUGUGAAAUCCCGGGGCUCAACCCUGGAACUGCAUUGGAUACUGCCUUGCUUGAGAACUGGAGAGGAGACUGGAAUUUACGGUGUAGCAGUGAAAUGCGUAGAGAUCGUAAGGAAGACCAGUGGCGAAGGCGAGUCUCUGGACAGAUUCUGACGCUGAGGCACGAAGGCCAGGGGAGCAAACGGGAUUAGAUACCCCAGUAGUCCCUGUCUCUUAUAU